RNAcentral lists this ribosomal RNA (216 nucleotides) under Glomeromycotina sp. Its description in RNAcentral is "partial small subunit ribosomal RNA". The stretch from base 40 to 216 matches the Rfam family "Eukaryotic small subunit ribosomal RNA", at positions 686 to 864 of the family's 1831-position model. The record is from RNAcentral. Lineage: Eukaryota; Fungi; Glomeromycota.
UGGUCAGUAGGUUGGUCGUGCCACCGGUACGUACUGGUCUCACUGAUUCCUCCUUCCUGAAGAACCGUAAUGCCAUUAAUUUGGUGUUGCGGGGAAACAGGACUGUUACUUUGAAAAAAUUAGAGUGUUUAAAGCAAGCUAACGCUUGAAUACAUUAGCUUGGAAUAAUGAAAUAGGACGAUCGAUCCUAUUUUGUUGGUUUCUAGGAUUGACGUA